GACGAACGCUGGCGGCGUGCUUAACACAUGCAAGUCGAACGGAAAGGCCCUGCUUGCGUGGGGCGCGAGAGGGGAACGGGGGUGUAACACACGUGUGUACCGUGCCUAUGAUUUGGGGAAAACUUCGGGACUGUGUGGAAUAUACGGGAUGGGAGUUCCUGCUGGUUGGUGGGGGUAGGUAUGUUUCGGGAGUUGGGGGUGGGCUCGCGGUCUGUUAGUUUGUUGGUGGGGGAAUGGCCUACCAAGGCGUUGGCGGGUGGCCGGCCUGAGCGGGUGGACGGCCAACUUGGGACUGAGAUACGGCCCAGACUCCUACGGGAGGCAGCAGUGGGGAAUAUUGCACAAUGGGCGCAAGCCUGAUGCAGCGACGCCGCGUGGGGGAUGACGGCCUUCGGGUUUUAAACCUUUUUCGACAGGGACGAAGCUUUGGUGACGGUACCUGUAUAAGAAGCACCGGCUAACUACGUG
This 468-nucleotide ribosomal RNA is filed under the name uncultured bacterium. RNAcentral describes it as "partial 16S ribosomal RNA". It matches the Rfam family "Bacterial small subunit ribosomal RNA", at positions 28 to 507 of the family's 1533-position model. The record is from RNAcentral.